This 546-nucleotide long non-coding RNA is filed under the name Parus major (Great Tit). Its description in RNAcentral is "lncRNA (ENSPMJG00000008601.1)". Lineage: Eukaryota; Metazoa; Chordata; Aves; Passeriformes; Paridae. The record is from RNAcentral.
CCCUCUCCUAUCAGUAAUUUUGGAGUUUUGUCAUCCUUCUUUUCCAGCUGCUUCCCAGAGCUGCCAUCUAGGGUGGCUCCAUCACUCAUCUGCAGAUUCCUUGUCGAUUCCAGCAGACUCCAGCAGUCCCUUCAGCUCCAUGUGUCAUGUUGCUAGCCAACAUCCUUAUUGGGAGAAACUUGAAAAUGGGCCAGAAAGGCAGAAGGGUCAAAAGGAUGCUGUCAGAGGGAUUUGACCUUUCAGCUGAAGCUACCGACAAAGGUUUCCAUCUAAUGGUGAUUUUGGUGGCAGUUGCUGUGACAAGCCCAUCCAUCUACAGCCUUCUACCACUUGCAUCUUCCCAAUAACUGAAUACCCACUUCAUUAUUACGACCUGCACUGAGCAACAGAUUUUUAUGAGUUAACACCUGUGUAGCCCUCAGAGAAAGCCUGGACUUCUCUACUUCACUGUAAUAUAUUGGCUGCUGUCCUGCACUUUAUGGAGCAAAAUACCAGUGUUCAGUAUAACAAAUUCCCCACCAAAAUAAAUUAGUUUAGUGAUCAUCA